AUACAGGGGGUGCGAGCGUUAAUCGGAAUUACUGGGCGUAAAGAGUACGUAGGCGGUUGCUUAAGUCAGAUGUGAAAGCCCCGGGCUCAACCUGGGAACUGCAUUUGAAACUGAGUGACUAGAGUUUGAGAGAGGGGAGUAGAAUUCCGGGUGUAGCGGUGAAAUGCGUAGAGAUCCGGAGGAAUACCAGUGGCGAAGGCGGCUCCCUGGCUUAAAACUGACGCUGAGGUACGAAAGCGUGGGUAGCAAACAGGAGUAGAAACCCGGGUAGUCC
This 274-nucleotide ribosomal RNA is filed under the name uncultured bacterium. RNAcentral describes it as "partial 16S ribosomal RNA". It matches the Rfam family "Bacterial small subunit ribosomal RNA", at positions 523 to 796 of the family's 1533-position model. The record is from RNAcentral.